This 1320-nucleotide long non-coding RNA is filed under the name Equus asinus (donkey). RNAcentral's name for it is "lncRNA (ENSEASG00005028203.1)". The record is from RNAcentral. Lineage: Eukaryota; Metazoa; Chordata; Mammalia; Perissodactyla; Equidae.
CCGCUAGGAUGGCUAGAAUCUAAACGACAGGUGAUAAGUGUUGGUGAGGAUGUGGAGAAAUCAGGGCCCUUGUUCAUCACUGCUGGGAAUGCAACAUGGUGCAGCCACUUUGGAAAACAGUCUGGAAGCUCCUCGGAAAGCAAAACAUAGAAUUACCAGGGGGCCCAACAAUUCCACUCCUAGCGCCAACACCAAGCACUGGCUCCGGCAUGUAAUAGUCGCUCAAUAAACGCCUGACAAAUGAAUGGCACAAAGAAGGCGCUCGAGAAACGUAAACAGUGUUGAAGCAACUCACCUAAUGCCACGCGCUUCAGAGGGAGAAGGGACUUCGCUGGUCGUGUGUGGAUGCCCUUGGUGUUCAGGUGUCACAGGUCCAGCAAAACAAGAACCUCGCUGUAGCCCUGGAGGCCUGGGAGGAAGGGGCCGAGGUGAAACCACGCUCUGGCCAGGGAACUCAUGGAAAAGCAGCCUCGCUUCCUGCGCAGCUGCUCUGGGCCCCCAACCCGGUUUUAAACCACAGCCUCAGACACACUUCGUCUUUGCAGGGUGGCUGAAAAGUUCCGGUAAAGCAACCGUGGGCUUGCUCCAUGCUGGGGCGAAGAGCGGGCAGGAAGCGGGGCUGCGUCAGGACGCGGUGCCUCCCCUGAGAGGCAGGGGGCUGGCGAAGGCUGAGGGGCAGGUGCAGACGGUGAGCCGGGAGUGCUUGGUGCAUAGUUGGCGCCCUGGGUGAUGGCUGAAUCAAUGGAUGAUGAGCGAGCACGUGGAUGUUUUGCUGAAGGCAUCUGAUGUGGCUGAACCUGCAGCAAACUGAUUCUGUUUGGAACUUGGGGGCCAGAGAGGAACCACCCAGGACAGACAGAGUGGGCACUUUGGUUGCCUGGAACAUUAGGCCUCCCCAUGUUCACUGAGGACCAGGAGUUACUGUUCGGGUCCUUGUGAAUUCCAAAGCCUCUUGGGAAUGUCAUCUGUAAGCAUCCACUAACACUUAGAAACACACAUUCUCUUUGACCCUGCCAUCCCACUUCCGGGAAUCUGCCCCACAGGAAUGGAAACCCUAGCAUGGAAGGCCACAGGACCAGAAUGUUUACUGUGCCAUGUUUGUGGGGGCAAAAACCUGGAAGCAAUCUGACAGUCCAUCAGGACUGGAAAGGUUGGAGAAGUUGUGCUACGUGCCUUUUUGAAAUACCAACCUUUUAAAAAUUCGAUUUCUAUGUAAUUAUCUGGAGUACUGUCCUUGAUCUAUUGCAAAGUAAAAAACGGAAAACCCCCAAAAAACUCCAAGUAGGCCAGUAAUGUGAAUCAAACAAUGCUAGAAAAUUU